UCUGAGGGGACAGGCUAAGCACCCACCUGUAGCUCUGCCUGUAUCUCGGCAGGUGACAAAUAUUAAGCAGUAUAAAUUGCCUGGGGGCACAAGGAAAUUGGAGAAACUCUAAAGGAGUUGGAGACGGUGGUCACCAUAAAGCCCACUCAUUGUCCUUUUAAUUCCCCAGUGUGGUCAGUGAGAAAGCCAGACGGCUCCUGGCAUAUAACCGUGGACUACAGGGAAUUAAAUAAAAUCACACCCUUUUUGCAUGACCCUGUCCCCUCAAUAGCAGACAUUCUGGACACCCUCAGCCAUGAACUGGGAACGUAUCAUUAUGUCGUAGACCUUGCUAAUGCUUUCUUCUCUAUUGACAUAGCACAGGAAAGCCAGGAACAGUUUGCCUUCACGUGGGAAGGACGGCAGUGGACAUUCACUGUCCUUCCACAGGGAUAUCUCCACAGUCCCACCAUCUGUCAUGGACUUGUAGCCCAGGACUUGGCCACAUGGAAGAAACUGCAAACAGUGCAGUUGUAUCACUACAUUGAUCAUAUUAUGCUCACAUCUGAUUCUCUUUCAGGUUUAGAAGAGGCAGUUCCUAGACUGUUGCAACAUCUACAGGAAAAAGGAUGGGCUGUGAACAGCAUCAAGGUUCAGGGACCUUGUUUAUCUGUGAAAUUCUUAGGGGUUGUCUGGUCGGGUAAAACUAAAGUUGUUCCUGAUGCAGUCAUAGACAAGGUCCAGGCUUUCCCCACCCCUACCACUGUGGCAGUAUUACAAGAGUUUUUGGGUCUUUUGGGCUACUGGAGAGUGUUUAUCCCGCACUUGGCACAAAUUCUGAAGCCCUUAUACUGGUUGGCACAAAAGGGCAUCAGGUGGGACUGGGAUGAAACAUGUGCAACAGCUUUUACUGCUGCCAAGCUGGCAGUCAAGGCCGUACAGGCCUUGAACAUCAUGGACUCAUCAAAACCUUGUGAACUAGAUGUUCAUGUAACCAAAGUUGGUUAUGGAUGGAGUCUUUGGCAGUGGCUUGAAUGGACACGCCAACCUAUUGGAAUCUGGUAACAACUAUGGAAAGGAGCAGAGGUCUGGCACACCCUGAUAGAGAAGCAACUGGCUGCUGUGUACCACGCCUUGCUGGCUACGGAGCCCAUCUCCGGAACAGCUCUGAUCAAAGGACCAGUGAUGGCUGGCCCUACUGGCACCUUGGGGGAAAGGUGUGGAAGCUGGCCUCCUGUGUAUUCCUGGAAUAACAGCUGAAUGGCCCCCAAAUGUCACGGUAGUGUACCCAAAACGUCCAGGAGGUAAGAGCAUCUUCUGAGGAAGUUUUGUUUUAUCUUUAUGGCCAGUGCAUGUACCUCCCAUAGCCAUAUAUAUCGACCCAUCUGUAACUCCCACAGGGAGAGGGUGAAAGUCUGGUACACUAGACCAGGACGAGAUCCCAUUCCUGCCACUUUUAUCACAAGACCACUCUCUUGCAUGUAUUCUACCUGAUGGACAAGGUUUGCCUAUGCUGGUGCCAUUAAAACACGUAUCUUACUGACCUUAAGGUUAUUUUCUCCUAUAGUCUUUGUGGCCUGAAUGUGCCUCCUGGCUGCAGCUGCCACAUGAUGAUUGCUCUGAACCCUCAGCUACUGCCUUCCUAUGGAAUGGACGAGCUAUGGACUUAACCUGCAUAAGACUUUGAACCUAGCUGAAUCCAUCGCCUUGAGGAUUAUCAUGAUUUUAUUGCUGUUGCUAUUCUUAUGUCAUUAGUCUGGUCACAAUGCUCCAGUUUUCUCACCCAGGGAGCAUUGUGAAAGAGGUGGAAAGAGCAGAUUUUAAGGUGAGGUUUCUGGAGGGGUGGCCUGUGGGUAAAAUUGUAACAUUUCCAGAGUAUCUCGCCUGGCUUUGGUGCAUUUGCAUAUCCCCAGGGGUGGAGAGAAGUUCACCUGCAUGUCACUGGGUAAUUACCCGAGCAACCGAGGGUGUGUCUGAGCCUGAGAGGUUAAGGGGCGGGGCUGGCCUGCUUCUUCUGGAGCAGAGGAGAGAAGGUGCUGGACUGCAGUUUGUAAUAAAUAAACAGGUUUUAA
Molecule: long non-coding RNA, 2051 nt
Organism: Manis pentadactyla (Chinese pangolin)
Lineage: Eukaryota; Metazoa; Chordata; Mammalia; Pholidota; Manidae
Exons: 2
Source: RefSeq, a predicted model, not a curated record